RNAcentral lists this long non-coding RNA (266 nucleotides) under Elaeis guineensis (African oil palm). RNAcentral's name for it is "long non-coding RNA (EGUI_LNC017416)". The record is from RNAcentral. Lineage: Eukaryota; Viridiplantae; Streptophyta; Magnoliopsida; Arecales; Arecaceae.
AGUGGAAGAGUCAAUUCAUGUUAUUUUUGAUGAAACUAAUGAUCUUCAAUCAAGAAAGAGAGAGAGUGCUGAUGAUACAAGUAUCAUAGAAAAUGAAAUGAAAGAACUCACCUUCAAUGACUCAAAUAAAUAAAAUAAAAAUCAAUUGGAUGAAAGCAUCAAUGAUCAGAAUAUUCAAAAAUAAUCUCAAGACACAGGUAAUCUUCUAAGGGAAUGGAAGUAUGUUUACAAUCACCUUAAAAAAUUAAUAAUUGAUCAUCCGGCAC